UGCCUAUUCUAACGUUCAUAAUA
This 23-nucleotide microRNA is filed under the name Ptychodera flava. RNAcentral describes it as "Pfl-Mir-2001_3p* (star (passenger))". The record is from RNAcentral. Lineage: Eukaryota; Metazoa; Hemichordata; Enteropneusta; Ptychoderidae.